Molecule: ribosomal RNA, 468 nt
Filed under: uncultured bacterium
Lineage: Bacteria
Description: partial 16S ribosomal RNA
Rfam family: Bacterial small subunit ribosomal RNA
Source: RNAcentral
GACGAACGCUGGCGGCGUGCUUAACACAUGCAAGUCGAACGGAAAGGCCCUGCUUUUGUGGGGUGCUCGAGUGGCGAACGGGUGAGUAACACGUGAGUAACCUGCCCUUGACUUUGGGAUAACUUCAGGAAACUGGGGCUAAUACCGGAUAGGAGCUCCUGCUGCAUGGUGGGGGUUGGAAAGUUUCGGCGGUUGGGGAUGGACUCGCGGCUUAUCAGCUUGUUGGUGGGGUAGUGGCUUACCAAGGCUUUGACGGGUAGCCGGCCUGAGGGGGUGACCGGCCACAUUGGGACUGAGAUACGGCCCAGACUCCUACGGGAGGCAGCAGUGGGGAAUAUUGCACAAUGGGCGGAAGCCUGAUGCAGCAACGCCGCGUGCGGGAUGACGGCCUUCGGGUUGUAAACCGCUUUCGCCUGUGACGAAGCGUGAGUGACGGUAAUGGGUAAAGAAGCACCGGCUAACUACAUG